Molecule: ribosomal RNA, 519 nt
Filed under: uncultured bacterium
Lineage: Bacteria
Description: bacterial SSU rRNA
Rfam family: Bacterial small subunit ribosomal RNA
Source: RNAcentral
GAGUUUGAUCCUGGCUCAGGAUGAACGCUGGCGGCGUGCUUAACACAUGCAAGUCGAACGAAGCACUUUAUUUGAUUUCCUUCGGGAUUGAUUAUUUUGUGACUGAGUGGCGGACGGGUGAGUAACGCGUGGGUAACCUGCCUUGUACAGGGGGAUAACAGUUGGAAGCGGCUGCUAAUACCGCAUAAGACCACAGCACCGCAUGGUGCAGGGGUAAAAACUCCGGUGGUACAGGAUGGACCCGCGUCUGAUUAGCUGGUUGGUGAGGUAACGGCUCACCAAGGCGACGAUCAGUAGCCGGCUUGAGAGAGUGAACGGCCACAUUGGGACUGAGACACGGCCCAAACUCCUACGGGAGGCAGCAGUGGGGAAUAUUGCACAAUGGGGGAAACCCUGAUGCAGCGACGCCGCGUGAGUGAAGAAGUAUCUCGGUAUGUAAAGCUCUAUCAGCAGGGAAGAAAAUGACGGUACCUGACUAAGAAGCCCCGGCUAACUACGUGCCAGCCGCCGCGGUAAUAC